GUACUCACUCUGGAAACAGAUAUACUAAAAAUAAUAAAUAUAUGAAGAGGAUUAUCAUGGCCCCUGAAAAAGGAUGACACACAAAUUUGUGAAGCAUUCCAUUUUUUA
Small nuclear RNA from Loxodonta africana (African savanna elephant), 108 nucleotides. Lineage: Eukaryota; Metazoa; Chordata; Mammalia; Proboscidea; Elephantidae. The record is from Ensembl.